Molecule: unclassified non-coding RNA, 662 nt
Filed under: Hevea brasiliensis (rubber tree)
Lineage: Eukaryota; Viridiplantae; Streptophyta; Magnoliopsida; Malpighiales; Euphorbiaceae
Source: RNAcentral
GGGGACUUGCCUGAGUGUAAUCAGGUUGGUGGGUUUGUGCUAUGGCUGAAAACCAUUUUAUUCUCUGUCAACUUCUGUAUUGAUGCAUUGCUCAUGCAUCCAUGAGUCUCUGGUCUUCUUCCUGAGAUAGUCAUUUUCUAUUUUAAGUGCUAGCUCAGUUUCUUCUAAGGAAUUAGUAGUCAUUUUAAACGUGACAUUACAGCUGGCAGUGGAGUGUACGGAUGAAGAACUGUGUCUGUAUGCCUCAUUCAAGACCAUUAUAAUAUCUGUUGUAAUCAUUACCCAAAAAAAAAAAAUUGUUGUAAGAUGCUUACUAGCUGAAUGUUCUGAAACUGUGUAGAAAUAUGUUACCCGAAAAGUGUGUAACUGAUGCCUGAAGGUGCCCAUGUAAUGUGUCUCAUCUUCAAUUCAACUUAUUCAAAUUGUAGCUUACAUUUUGAACCUUUCUUCCAUCUAUAUUUUAAGCAUUAGCUGCUGUUUGCUACUAUUAGACCAACGUGAUAUGGUUAUUAUUGUAGGUGUUUUACUUCUUAGUUCUUACGCAUGUUAAUGAUUUAUAAGGUAGGAACUUGUGCCAUGUUACAGUUUGGAAUCUUAAAUAGCAUAAAUUCAACGGUCAUGAGACACAUUGAAAACUCAGAUAUCUAAAACAAUCAAGCAGU